This 610-nucleotide long non-coding RNA is filed under the name Numida meleagris (helmeted guineafowl). Its description in RNAcentral is "lncRNA (ENSNMEG00000018773.1)". Lineage: Eukaryota; Metazoa; Chordata; Aves; Galliformes; Numididae. The record is from RNAcentral.
CUGGGAUCCAUAACUGAGUAUCAGAGGUUGAACCUGUCUGGUCAGAGCAGAGUCUUUUUUAUAACCCUACAAGUGGCCUGCGGUGCUGCUUGCUGCUCUCGCCUGUGAAUUUCACUAGGGUUGGAGGAUGACUGGGAAACUCAGGAAAUAUUGUUCAUUCUCUAAAUCCACAGUAUUUAUAAAAGCACAGCUGGAAGCAACCAGAAAAGCUGCUAAUGAAUCCCAUGUAGUUUAUUUUCUUUCACAGGAGAAAAAAAUCUGAGAAGAUGACAUGAACGUACCCAUAUGUGCAAUGACUGAGGAUUUGGGGUGCUAUCUCAUACUCAAAAAAUUGAAAUGCUUCAAAGAGGAACAACAUUUUCAGAUGACAGAAAUGAAACUUUCUGGCUGCACAGAACCAACCACCAAGAAACCUGAUUUCUGCUCCCUGAAGAUUUUCAAAGGGUGGGUAGAUUGUCCUGGCACACAACAAGAAACGUUUCCAAAAUCUCCCAGUCCUUCAGCUAACAGGAAACAUCUUCCCACUCACUUCUUGUCAACGGAGUAUUUCAUACGGCGCUUUAAAAACAUUGACAGAUUUCUUCCCCCCGUCGAAGGAAAGCAGGAAUGA